CUAGAUAUUUCAGAGCCACAGUCCCAGGCAGCUGCUAUGAAGGACCUCCGAGGAGGUGGCUGGGGUGGAGGUAUGCAGAGAAAAAAAUGACCCCAUCUAAAAUAUGCGAUUCCAAAGGAAAGAAGCAGAGCAAAGGCUCAGGGGGCAGACUGUCUUUUUUGGGGGUCUCACUUUAGUUCUUCAGUGAAAUGAGAUAAGAACAUCUGUUUCCUGCUAAACAGGAGCCACAUUCUUUCAGAAAGAUUCCACAGAGAAAAUAUAGGGAGCUGACAUGAACCAGAGCUGAGUUCCUGCACUUAGUUAUGUGUGAUUCAGAAACAGUUCUGGAGCAAAAAGCAUGAAUUAAACACAGACCCUGCCCUCAAGGAACUUCAAGUCUAAUAGCAGAAGUGAAUCAGUGCAUAUCACUUAUACUCAUGGAAGACCAAGGGAAAAAAAGAAGAAGAAAAAGAAGUAAGUGCCACAUGAAAGUAAUAUGAGUAUUUAUUGUGGGAUCUCUUGGGAAGGGAACCUGACUUAAAGACUGUUUGCUCUGGGAAGGCAUCAAG
This is a long non-coding RNA of Mustela lutreola (European mink), 548 nucleotides long. RefSeq lists it as uncharacterized. Lineage: Eukaryota; Metazoa; Chordata; Mammalia; Carnivora; Mustelidae. The transcript is spliced from 3 exons. The record is from RefSeq and is a predicted model, not a curated record.